UAGGGAAUCUUCGGCAAUGGACGAAAGUCUGACCGAGCAACGCCGCGUGAGUGAAGAAGGUUUUCGGAUCGUAAAACUCUGUUGUUAGAGAAGAACAAGGACGUUAGUAACUGAACGUCCCCUGACGGUAUCUAACCAGAAAGCCACGGCUAACUUCGUGCCAGCAGCCGCGGUAAUACGUAGGUGGCAAGCGUUGUCCGGAUUUAUUGGGCGUAAAGCGAGCGCAGGCGGUUUCUUAAGUCUGAUGUGAAAGCCCCCGGCUCAACCGGGGAGGGUCAUUGGAAACUGGGAGACUUGAGUGCAGAAGAGGAGAGUGGAAUUCCAUGUGUAGCGGUGAAAUGCGUAGAUAUAUGGAGGAACACCAGUGGCGAAGGCGGCCCCCUGGACAAAGACUGACGCUCAGGUGCGAAAGCGUGGGGAGCAAACAGG
Molecule: ribosomal RNA, 429 nt
Filed under: Chloroflexota bacterium
Lineage: Bacteria; Bacillati; Chloroflexota
Description: Chloroflexi bacterium partial 16S ribosomal RNA
Rfam family: Bacterial small subunit ribosomal RNA
Source: RNAcentral